GAGGAGGAUGGCCGUCUGGAC
Molecule: microRNA, 21 nt
Filed under: Medicago truncatula (barrel medic)
Lineage: Eukaryota; Viridiplantae; Streptophyta; Magnoliopsida; Fabales; Fabaceae
Description: mtr-miR5233
Source: miRBase by way of RNAcentral